Molecule: ribosomal RNA, 429 nt
Filed under: uncultured bacterium
Lineage: Bacteria
Description: bacterial SSU rRNA
Rfam family: Bacterial small subunit ribosomal RNA
Source: RNAcentral
UGGGGAAUUUUCCGCAAUGGGCGAAAGCCUGACGGAGUGACGCCGCGUGGGGGACGAAGGCCUUCGGGUCGUAAACCCCUGUCAGAGGGAAAGAAGGGGAUCGGCGUGAACAGCGCCGGUCUUUGACGGUACCUUCAGAGGAAGCCCCGGCCAACUCUGUGCCAGCAGCCGCGGUAAGACAGAGGGGGCAAGCGUUGCUCGGAAUCACUGGGCGUAAAGGGCGCGUAGGCGGGAUGGCAAGUCGGUCGUGAAAUCCUUCGGCUCAACCGAAGAACGUCGGCCGAUACUGCCGUUCUUGAGGGAUGCAGAGGAGACUGGAAUUCCCGGUGUAGCGGUGAAAUGUGUAGAGAUCGGGAGGAACACCGGUGGCGAAGGCGGGUCUCUGGGCAUCUCCUGACGCUGAGGCGCGAAAGCGUGGGGAGCAAACGG